This is a long non-coding RNA of Saccostrea cuccullata (small rock oyster), 1116 nucleotides long. RefSeq lists it as uncharacterized. The record is from RefSeq and is a predicted model, not a curated record. The transcript has 3 exons. Lineage: Eukaryota; Metazoa; Mollusca; Bivalvia; Ostreida; Ostreidae.
AUACCCGAUACAAGAAACAUUCCUUGAUGAUUUCAUUGUGACUUCUACAAAGACAAAACACUUACAGUCACUACACUUUAUCGAUUACUGUCCACACCUGUUCUUAGUUGGUGGUGAAUUUUUAAAAUUCAUUGGGUUGCAGUACAUGCAGUUAACAUGAUGGUUGGAACAAGCACAGAAACUUUCACAAACAGCAAGUGCAUAUGUGAUGUAGGUGAAAAAAGAAUCAAGACUUAAGGAACUUGAAUAGUGCAGAUAGUCCAUUAGUGUCAAGGCCAACAAUAACUCUUCUGCUACUCUGGAUCAAAUUGAUUUUAACUCUUUUACAACUUACAGAAUUGCUAUGCAACAUACAUUGAGUCCUCGCGUCAUAGAAAUAUUACUUUACCAUUUCCCCGCAAGCACUUUAUAGCAGGGUACAAUUUUCUCUAAAGUUUAGCGUAAAUAAUAUUCUGAAAUAAUAUUUUAAUUAGAAAAUAACUUUUCUUAUUUUAUGAGAUUCAAGCAAGUAUAAAAUAGUUGGAAUUUGGUAAUAAAUUGAAGAUUAAAUGAACUUUUUAAAGUGCGUGAAAAUGCGUGAUUGCGAGUAAAUGGUAAAUGCGUGAUUUUGCCUUAGAAAUUGGAAAUGGUGUAUGCAUUAAAAUGCGUGACUGCAGGGAAGGUAGUUAAGAAGAAUAUUUACAUAUUUUUGCAUACACUGUAUAUGUAAAUAUUGGAGGAAGAUCUUUGAUUAAUUUACUAUAGUAUAAAUCUUAUCCUUUUGAUUAUGCUAUAUAGGUGCUUGUGUAGGAGAUACGAACUUAAAACUUAAGGUCAGACGAGACGUUCCUCAAUAUCUGUUUUGUAUAUCUUCAUAAGCUAUGAAAAAUAUUAAAAAUUUUAAUAACAUUCUGUAUUUCCAAACAAGUUUCUAAAUGUCUUUAAAAAAUCCAAACAUUUUAUUAUUUGAAAUUGGAAAAUUAUUUUUCUUCCCAAAAGGAAUAUAUAAGAAAAACAGUAAACAUGUUUAAGUAGCAAUACUUCAAUGACAAACUCUCGGAAAAUUUUAUAUAUUAUUAAGGAACGUUUCAUCUGUCCUUAAGUGUUUAUAAAAAUACUGUAUACAAGAAAAUGUAA